GUAGCGGCGAGCGAACGGGGAGCAGCCCAGAGUCUGAAUCAGCUUGUGUGUUAGUGGAACGGUCUGGAAAGUCCGACGGUACAGGGUGAUAGUCCCGUACACCAAAAUGCACAGGCUGUGAACUCGAAGAGUAGGGCGGGACACGUGGUAUCCUGUCUGAAUAUGGGGGGACCAUCCUCCAAGGCUAAAUACUCCUGACUGACCGAUAGUGAACCAGUACCGUGAGGGAAAGGCGAAAAGAACCCCGGCGAGGGGAGUGAAAAAGAACCUGAAACCGUGUACGUACAAGCAGUGGGAGCACCUUCGGGUGUGACUGCGUACCUUUUGUAUAAUGGGUCAGCGACUUAUAUUCUGUAGCAAGGUUAACCGUAUAGGGGAGCCGCAGGGAAACCGAGUCUUAACUGGGCGUUAAGUUGCAGGGUAUAGACCCGAAACCCGGUGAUCUAGCCAUGGGCAGGUUGAAGGUUGGGUAACACUAACUGGAGGACCGAACCGACUAAUGUUGAAAAAUUAGCGGAUGACUUGUGGCUGGGGGUGAAAGGCCAAUCAAACCGGGAGAUAGCUGGUUCUCCCCGAAAGCUAUUUAGGUAGCGCCUCGUGAAUUCAUCUUCGGGGGUAGAGCACUGUUUCGGCUAGGGGGUCAUCCCGACUUACCAACCCGAUGCAAACUACGAAUACCGAAGAAUGUUAUCACGGGAGACACACGGCGGGUGCUAACGUCCGUCGUGAAGAGGGAAACAACCCAGACCGCCAGCUAAGGUCCCAAAGUCAUGGUUAAGUGGGAAACGAUGUGGGAAGGCACAGACAGCCAGGAUGUUGGCUUAGAAGCAGCCAUCAUUUAAAGAAAGCGUAAUAGCUCACUGGUCGAGUCGGCCUGCGCGGAAGAUGUAACGGGGCUAAACCAUGCACCGAAGCUGCGGCAGCGACACUAUGUGUUGUUGGGUAGGGGAGCGUUCUGUAAGCCUGCGAAGGUGACCUGUG
RNAcentral lists this ribosomal RNA (981 nucleotides) under Klebsiella pneumoniae. RNAcentral's name for it is "partial 23S ribosomal RNA". It matches the Rfam family "Bacterial large subunit ribosomal RNA", at positions 243 to 1265 of the family's 2925-position model. Lineage: Bacteria; Pseudomonadati; Pseudomonadota; Gammaproteobacteria; Enterobacterales; Enterobacteriaceae. The record is from RNAcentral.